GGAAUGGUAGCUCAGUCAGUCAGAGCACUACGCUGAUAACGUAGAGGUCGUGGGUGCAAUUCCUACCCAUUCCA
RNAcentral lists this transfer RNA (74 nucleotides) under Haloarcula vallismortis. RNAcentral's name for it is "tRNA_Ile_GAT". It matches the Rfam family "tRNA". From Rfam's summary of the family: Transfer RNA (tRNA) molecules are approximately 80 nucleotides in length. Their secondary structure includes four short double-helical elements and three loops (D, anti-codon, and T loops). Lineage: Archaea; Methanobacteriati; Methanobacteriota; Halobacteria; Halobacteriales; Haloarculaceae. The record is from RNAcentral. RNAcentral also lists the same sequence under 1 other name.